RNAcentral lists this ribosomal RNA (253 nucleotides) under uncultured bacterium. RNAcentral describes it as "partial 16S ribosomal RNA". It matches the Rfam family "Bacterial small subunit ribosomal RNA", at positions 524 to 776 of the family's 1533-position model. The record is from RNAcentral.
UACGGAGGGUGCAAGCGUUGCUCGGAAUUAUUGGGCGUAAAGGGCAGGUAGGUGGUCUCAUUUGUCUGGGGUGAAAGCCUUGAGCUUAACUCAAGAAGUGCCCCAGAAACGGUGAGACUGGAGUCCUAGAGAGGGUCGUGGAAUUCCCGGUGUAGCGGUGAAAUGCGUAGAGAUCGGGAGGAACACCAGAGGCGAAAGCGGCGAUCUGGAUAGGUACUGACACUCAACUGCGAAAGCGUGGGGAGCAAACAGG